RNAcentral lists this transfer RNA (74 nucleotides) under Caudoviricetes sp. RNAcentral's name for it is "tRNA-OTHER". It matches the Rfam family "tRNA". Rfam says of the family: Transfer RNA (tRNA) molecules are approximately 80 nucleotides in length. Their secondary structure includes four short double-helical elements and three loops (D, anti-codon, and T loops). Lineage: Duplodnaviria; Heunggongvirae; Uroviricota; Caudoviricetes. The record is from RNAcentral.
GGAGGGUUAGCUCAGUAUGGUAGAGCGUCACAUUCUAAAGUGAAGGUCGUGGAUUCAAAUUCUACACUCUCUCA